UGGGGAAUAUUGCACAAUGGGCGCAAGCCUGAUGCAGCAACGCCGCGUGAGGGACGACGGCCUUCGGGUUGUAAACCUCUUUUAGUAGGGAAGAAGCGAAAGUGACGGUACCUGCAGAAAAAGCACCGGCUAACUACGUGCCAGCAGCCGCGGUAAUACGUAGGGUGCGAGCGUUGUCCGGAAUUAUUGGGCGUAAAGAGCUCGUAGGCGGUCUGUCGCGUCUGCUGUGAAAACCCGAGGCUCAACCUCGGGCCUGCAGUGGGUACGGGCAGACUAGAGUGCGGUAGGGAGAAUGGAAUUCCUGGUGUAGCGGUGGAAUGCGCAGAUAUCAGGAGGAACACCGAUGGCGAAGGCGGUUCUCUGGGCCGUAACUGACGCUGAGGAGCGAAAGCGUGGGGAGCGAACAGGAUUAGAUACCCUGGUAGUUCACGCCGUAAACGUUGGGCGCUAGAUGUGGGGACCAUUCCACGGUUUCCGUGUCGCAGCUAACGCAUUAAGCGCCCCGCCUGGGGAGUACGGCCGCAAGGC
This 528-nucleotide ribosomal RNA is filed under the name uncultured bacterium. Its description in RNAcentral is "partial 16S ribosomal RNA". It matches the Rfam family "Bacterial small subunit ribosomal RNA", at positions 355 to 894 of the family's 1533-position model. The record is from RNAcentral.